UAUGGCGACCGGCGCACGGGUGAGUAACACGUAUCCAACCUGCCGAUGACUCGGGGAUAGCCUUUCGAAAGAAAGAUUAAUACCCGAUGGCAUAGUUCUUCCGCAUGGUAGAACUAUUAAAGAAUUUCGGUCAUCGAUGGGGAUGCGUUCCAUUAGGUUGUUGGCGGGGUAACGGCCCACCAAGCCUUCGAUGGAUAGGGGUUCUGAGAGGAAGGUCCCCCACAUUGGACUGAGACACGGCCAA
This 244-nucleotide ribosomal RNA is filed under the name uncultured bacterium. Its description in RNAcentral is "partial 16S ribosomal RNA". It matches the Rfam family "Bacterial small subunit ribosomal RNA", at positions 87 to 334 of the family's 1533-position model. The record is from RNAcentral.